RNAcentral lists this ribosomal RNA (510 nucleotides) under uncultured bacterium. RNAcentral's name for it is "partial 16S ribosomal RNA". It matches the Rfam family "Bacterial small subunit ribosomal RNA", at positions 28 to 507 of the family's 1533-position model. The record is from RNAcentral.
GACGAACGCUGGCGGCGUGCUUAACACAUGCAAGUCGAACGAAGAGCGAUGGAAGCUUGCUUCUAUCAAUCUUAGUGGCGAACGGGUGAGUAACGCGUAAUCAACCUGCCCUUCAGAGGGGGACAACAGUUGGAAACGACUGCUAAUACCGCAUACGAUCCAAUCUCGGCAUCGGGACUGGAUGAAAGGUGGCCUCUAUUUAUAAGCUAUCACUGAAGGAGGGGAUUGCGUCUGAUUAGCUAGUUGGAGGGGUAACGGCCCACCAAGGCGAUGAUCAGUAGCCGGUCUGAGAGGAUGAACGGCCACAUUGGGACUGAGACACGGCCCAGACUCCUACGGGAGGCAGCAGUGGGGAAUCUUCCGCAAUGGACGCAAGUCUGACGGAGCAACGCCGCGUGAGUGAUGACGGCCUUCGGGUUGUAAAGCUCUGUUAAUCGGGACGAAUGGUUCUUGUGCGAAUAGUGCGAGGAUUUGACGGUACCGGAAUAGAAAGCCACGGCUAACUACGUG